This 468-nucleotide ribosomal RNA is filed under the name uncultured bacterium. RNAcentral describes it as "partial 16S ribosomal RNA". It matches the Rfam family "Bacterial small subunit ribosomal RNA", at positions 28 to 507 of the family's 1533-position model. The record is from RNAcentral.
GACGAACGCUGGCGGCGUGCUUAACACAUGCAAGUCGAACGGAAAGGCCCUGCUUUUGUGGGGUGUUCGAGUGGCGAACGGGUGAGUAACACGUGAGUAACCUGCCCUUGACUUUGGGAUAACUUCAGGAAACUGGGGCUAAUACCGGAUAGGAGCUCCUGCUGCAUGGUGGGGGUUGGAAAGUUUCGGCGGUUGGGGAUGGACUCGCGGCUUAUCAGCUUGUUGGUGGGGUAGUGGCUUACCAAGGCUUUGACGGGUAGCCGGCCUGAGAGGGUGACCGGCCACAUUGGGACUGAGAUACGGCCCAGACUCCUACGGGAGGCAGCAGUGGGGAAUAUUGCACAGUGGGCGGAAGCCUGAUGCAGCGACGCCGCGUGCGGGAUGACGGCCUUCGGGUUGUAAACCGCUUUCGCCUGUGACGAAGCGUGAGUGACGGUAAUGGGUAAAGAAGCACCGGCUAACUACGUG